This is a non-coding RNA of Saccharata proteae CBS 121410, 105 nucleotides long. The record is from the annotation of a GenBank genome assembly. NCBI's taxonomy places the organism in Eukaryota, Fungi, Ascomycota, Dothideomycetes, Botryosphaeriales, Saccharataceae.
GUCGAGGUGGUGUAGUUGGUUAUCACGUCUGUCUAACAGAUCCACUCCUCUCAAGAGUGGUCUCUGGUGCACAGAAGGUCCCGAGUUCAAGUCUCGGCUUCGAUA